UCAGUGUCUGGUAGUUAGAUGCACAGCAAGGUUCAAAAUUAAACCAAGUUGGCGUGCCUUCUGGGAUCGUCCCCAACUCUCUUUGCUAACUACUGAGAGGGAAGCUGCUGUCCACAAGCCGCAUCCAGACUGUCUGCACUGACAUGCUGAGGUGGGCAACCACACAAACUUAAGAUCAAAGCUUCUUUGAUGGCAGGCACCGUGUUCUUCCUCCAGAAUACCCAAUUUUGCAACUAUUAGACCUUCAAUGAAUAUUUACUAAGGGCUAUGAGUAGUUCAAAAACGCAGAAACAAAUUAGCUACAGAACUACAUGUGGUGAUUAAAAACAUUUCAAAUGAUGAUUCUCAAAUUCUAAUGUGCAUAAGAGUUGAAAGGGAAGCCUAUUAAAAUGUGAACUCCUAAAUCUCAUUUCCAAAGACAGGGCCCACCAGAUGGCAAAUGACUUUAUCUACCCAGCCCAGAGCCGGGCUGGAAACAGAAUGCAUCCCAUGCCCCCCUUCCACUCUGCUGGGAGAAUUGUGGAGUUUUUCUGUAAAGGGUGCUUGAUUUAGUCUGUGUGUGUGUGUGUGUGUGUCUGUGCACAUGUGCACACUCGAGCUUGUUCUAAAUACAAGUUUC
Molecule: long non-coding RNA, 619 nt
Organism: Suricata suricatta (meerkat)
Lineage: Eukaryota; Metazoa; Chordata; Mammalia; Carnivora; Herpestidae
Exons: 3
Source: RefSeq, a predicted model, not a curated record